Potamilus streckersoni is the source of this 68-nucleotide non-coding RNA. Lineage: Eukaryota; Metazoa; Mollusca; Bivalvia; Unionida; Unionidae. The record is from the annotation of a GenBank genome assembly.
GCUCCGGUGGCCUAGUGGUUAUAGCGUCCGCCUCUGAUGAGGGAGGUCGUUUCUUCAAAUCCGGAACG